Molecule: ribosomal RNA, 1332 nt
Filed under: Staphylococcus aureus
Lineage: Bacteria; Bacillati; Bacillota; Bacilli; Caryophanales; Staphylococcaceae
Description: bacterial SSU rRNA
Rfam family: Bacterial small subunit ribosomal RNA
Source: RNAcentral
CUUAUAGAUGGAUCCGCGCUGCAUUAGCUAGUUGGUAAGGUAACGGCUUACCAAGGCAACGAUGCAUAGCCGACCUGAGAGGGUGAUCGGCCACACUGGAACUGAGACACGGUCCAGACUCCUACGGGAGGCAGCAGUAGGGAAUCUUCCGCAAUGGGCGAAAGCCUGACGGAGCAACGCCGCGUGAGUGAUGAAGGUCUUCGGAUCGUAAAACUCUGUUAUUAGGGAAGAACAUAUGUGUAAGUAACUGUGCACAUCUUGACGGUACCUAAUCAGAAAGCCACGGCUAACUACGUGCCAGCAGCCGCGGUAAUACGUAGGUGGCAAGCGUUAUCCGGAAUUAUUGGGCGUAAAGCGCGCGUAGGCGGUUUUUUAAGUCUGAUGUGAAAGCCCACGGCUCAACCGUGGAGGGUCAUUGGAAACUGGAAAACUUGAGUGCAGAAGAGGAAAGUGGAAUUCCAUGUGUAGCGGUGAAAUGCGCAGAGAUAUGGAGGAACACCAGUGGCGAAGGCGACUUUCUGGUCUGUAACUGACGCUGAUGUGCGAAAGCGUGGGGAUCAAACAGGAUUAGAUACCCUGGUAGUCCACGCCGUAAACGAUGAGUGCUAAGUGUUAGGGGGUUUCCGCCCCUUAGUGCUGCAGCUAACGCAUUAAGCACUCCGCCUGGGGAGUACGACCGCAAGGUUGAAACUCAAAGGAAUUGACGGGGACCCGCACAAGCGGUGGAGCAUGUGGUUUAAUUCGAAGCAACGCGAAGAACCUUACCAAAUCUUGACAUCCUUUGACAACUCUAGAGAUAGAGCCUUCCCCUUCGGGGGACAAAGUGACAGGUGGUGCAUGGUUGUCGUCAGCUCGUGUCGUGAGAUGUUGGGUUAAGUCCCGCAACGAGCGCAACCCUUAAGCUUAGUUGCCAUCAUUAAGUUGGGCACUCUAAGUUGACUGCCGGUGACAAACCGGAGGAAGGUGGGGAUGACGUCAAAUCAUCAUGCCCCUUAUGAUUUGGGCUACACACGUGCUACAAUGGACAAUACAAAGGGCAGCGAAACCGCGAGGUCAAGCAAAUCCCAUAAAGUUGUUCUCAGUUCGGAUUGUAGUCUGCAACUCGACUACAUGAAGCUGGAAUCGCUAGUAAUCGUAGAUCAGCAUGCUACGGUGAAUACGUUCCCGGGUCUUGUACACACCGCCCGUCACACCACGAGAGUUUGUAACACCCGAAGCCGGUGGAGUAACCUUUUAGGAGCUAGCCGUCGAAGGUGGGACAAAUGAUUGGGGUGAAGUCGUAACAAGGUAGCCGUAUCGGAAGGUGCGGCUGGAUCACCUCCUUUCUAAGGA